GCUAGGGCUGGGCAUCGGUCGGUUACGGCCGGGUUCGGGCCGUAAAAUCCAAAACCGACAAUAACCAUUGAAGCAAAAAUCUCACCCAUCACCGACCGAUUACUUGUACGGUUUUGUCGGGUGGCGGACAGAUUGGGUGGCGGUUAGACCGGACGGAUUUCGUCGGGUAUGACAAAAUAACUUGGUGUUUUAGAGAGAUCUAUGAAUCAAAAGAAAGAAGAAGAAAUAUUGUAUAUAUAAAUUUUGUGUUGAAUGUUAUACAAAAAUAACAACAUAAGAGAGAAGAAGAACUUUGGGUUUCACAGUUUUAAAGAACAGAUAUAUAAACCAGUGGUGGUUCUCUAGUGAAAGAGACGAAUUUUGAUGGUAUAGGCACAGUACGGAGGAGUUUUCACCGGAAGAGUAGAGAGAGAUCUGGACUUUUGAAAAUGAGAGAUGUUCUUUAGUUUCUUUAGAAUAUAAUAAAAAGAAAGAGAUAUUUAGUAUGUGAAAAUGACGAAAACACAGUGGAGACUGAAGAUGAAUAUCUCCAUUACAAUCUGCAAUGGUUUUAACAAUGGUUGUUGGAGGCAGAUUUGAUGGUGGUUCUAGCUGUGAGAGAGAGAGAAGGUAGUGUUAGAGAAAGAAGAAGGCUAAGUAGUAGUAGUUACAAGUUACUACUACUAAUUAUUACUAUUAAUUUAAUAUGAAAUUGUCAAGAUAGAUGUCAUGUUAAAUCUAUAGGAGAAAGUUUACGUGUCUUGCAACUAAACAAUUGUUAGUGAAAAUUGCUUUUAAAUGGGAAGUGUGCUUUAGUGGGUCUCAAAAAGACAUGACUUAAAGCUCUCAUGGUUCCAAGAAAAAAGCUCUUGUAGUAGUAGUAAGUAGUAGACAUUAUUGUCUUACUACUAGUGUUGCUUUAUUAAAGUUGUGAUUGGACAAACAAUGGUUUCAAAGCACAAGUUUAUACAGUAGGCAAUAAAACAUGUUUUCGGUCGGGCCUGGGUACCUAUGGAU
Molecule: long non-coding RNA, 996 nt
Filed under: Trifolium pratense (red clover)
Lineage: Eukaryota; Viridiplantae; Streptophyta; Magnoliopsida; Fabales; Fabaceae
Description: long non-coding RNA (TPRA_LNC009398)
Source: RNAcentral